ACUUGUGGGUGGAUUAGUGGCGAACGGGUGAGUAACACGUGAGUAACCUGCCCUUGACUCUGGGAUAAGCCUGGGAAACUGGGUCUAAUACCGGAUAUGACCUUCCAUCGCAUGGUGGUUGGUGGAAAGCUUUUGUGGUUUUGGAUGGACUCSCGGCCUAUCAGCUUGUUGGUGGGGUAAUGGCCUACCAAGGCGACGACGGGUAGCCGGCCUGAGAGGGUGACCGGCCACACUGGGACUGAGACACGGCCCAGACUCCUACGGGAGGCAGCAGUGGGGAAUAUUGCACAAUGGGCGCAAGCCUGAUGCAGCGACGCCGCGUGAGGGAUGACGGCCUUCGGGUUGUAAACCUCUUUCAGUAGGGAAGAAGCGUAAGUGACGGUACCUGCAGAAGAAGCGCCGGCUAACUACGUGCCAGCAGCCGCGGUAAUACGUAGGGCGCAAGCGUUAUCCGGAAUUAUUGGGCGUAAAGAGCUCGUAGGCGGUUUGUCGCGUCUGCCGUGAAAGUCCGGGGCUCAACUCCGGAUCUGCGGUGGGUACGGGCAGACUAGAGUGAUGUAGGGGAGACUGGAAUUCCUGGUGUAGCGGUGAAAUGCGCAGAUAUCAGGAGGAACACCGAUGGCGAAGGCAGGUCUCUGGGCAUUAACUGACGCUGAGGAGCGAAAGCAUGGGGAGCGAACAGGAUUAGAUACCCUGGUAGUCCAUGCCGUAAACGUUGGGCACUAGGUGUGGGGGACAUUCCACGUUUUCCGCGCCGUAGCUAACGCAUUAAGUGCCCCGCCUGGGGAGUACGCCGCAAGGCUAAACUCAAAGGAAUUGA
This 820-nucleotide ribosomal RNA is filed under the name Pseudarthrobacter defluvii. Its description in RNAcentral is "bacterial SSU rRNA". It matches the Rfam family "Bacterial small subunit ribosomal RNA", at positions 78 to 913 of the family's 1533-position model. The record is from RNAcentral. Lineage: Bacteria; Bacillati; Actinomycetota; Actinomycetes; Micrococcales; Micrococcaceae.